CCGCGGUAAUACAGAGGUGGCAAGCGUUGUUCGGAAUUACUGGGCGUAAAGGGCGCGUAGGCGGCCUUUCAAGUCGGACGUGAAAUCCCCGGGCUUAACUCGGGAAUUGCGUCCGAUACUGGGAGGCUCGAGUUCGGGAGAGGGAUGUGGAAUUCCAGGUGUAGCGGUGAAAUGCGUAGAUAUCUGGAGGAACACCGGUGGCGAAGGCGGCAUCCUGGACCGAAACUGACGCUGAGGCGCGAAAGCCAGGGGAGCAAACGGG
This 262-nucleotide ribosomal RNA is filed under the name uncultured bacterium. RNAcentral describes it as "partial 16S ribosomal RNA". It matches the Rfam family "Bacterial small subunit ribosomal RNA", at positions 515 to 776 of the family's 1533-position model. The record is from RNAcentral.